CAGCCGCCGCGGUAAUACGUAGGUGGCAAGCGUUGUCCGGAAUUAUUGGGCGUAAAGGGAGUGUAGGCGGUCUUUUAAGUCUGAUGUGAAAGCCCACGGCUCAACCGUGGAGGGUCAUUGGAAACUGGGAGACUUGAGUGCAGAAGAGGAGAGCGGAAUUCCAUGUGUAGCGGUGAAAUGCGUAGAUAUAUGGAGGAACACCAGUGGCGAAGGCGGCUCUCUGGUCUGUAACUGACGCUGAGGCUCGAAAGCGUGGGGAGCAAACAGGAUUAGAUACCCCUGUAGUCCCUGUCUCUUAUAC
This 301-nucleotide ribosomal RNA is filed under the name uncultured bacterium. RNAcentral's name for it is "partial 16S ribosomal RNA". It matches the Rfam family "Bacterial small subunit ribosomal RNA", at positions 509 to 807 of the family's 1533-position model. The record is from RNAcentral.